Ornithorhynchus anatinus (platypus) is the source of this 732-nucleotide long non-coding RNA. RefSeq lists it as uncharacterized. The transcript has 6 exons. The record is from RefSeq and is a predicted model, not a curated record. Lineage: Eukaryota; Metazoa; Chordata; Mammalia; Monotremata; Ornithorhynchidae.
CUCUUAUGUGAAUCACACUCCCAGUUGCAAACCCUCUGGAAGUUCACCCUGAGACUAUUUUUCAGUAAAGAGUAAAAUACUGCAACAGUGGGGGAAAUGAAUUAGCAUCCUAGGUGGACCAACUGAUGAGUCCCUGGAAGAAAAGAGAAAUGAUCUAGGCAGAAAACUGAAGAAUCAGAAACAGAAGAAACAGAAGGUCAGAAAGGAGGCAGUGCAGUAGUCAAGACUCAGCAUUUCUGUGGAAAAGAUCUGUUUGAAGAUAGCGUAUUCAUGACCAAGUCAAGGAACAGCAAGGAAAUGUCAGGAUCUUGGAAUGUAGGUCAUAAUGGAGGAGAGGGAGUGAGUUGUUCACUCAGCAGUCUCCGGGGAUGGAUACAGCUCCAGAAAGAUCAGAGACGUUCCGUGAUUUUGAAAUUUGCUUGAAUGGAGAAACAACACAAAUAGCAUAACCAAUCAACAGAGCCUGGCCCAGCUAGAGUAGGUUCCUGAGUUCAUUGUGCAUGAACAAUGACUAGCAAAGGAAAAGAUGAGUAAAAAGGAGAGUAAAUAGUGAAACAGAAAGUAUUUUAAGAAAAACAGAUUAAGGACCUAUUAACAUCUCAAGAGUACUACUUAAACUCCUAACUAACUCAGCCUUCAGGAAGACGGUGUCUAGGGGAAAGGGCUUAACCUUCCAUAACCUCCAUUUCACCAUCUGCGAAACAAGGAUUAUAAUAAACAGAUCUCAGAGCA